GAUGAACGCUGGCGGCGUGCCUAACACAUGCAAGUCGAACGGAGUUAUUUUGGAAACUUCUUCGGAAGUGGAAUCUUUAACUUAGUGGCGGACGGGUGAGUAACGCGUGAGCAAUCUGCCUUUAGGAGGGGGAUAACAGUCGGAAACGGCUGCUAAUACCGCAUAAUGUAUGUCCUUCGCAUGUUGGACAUACCAAAGGAGCAAUCCGCCUUUAGAUGAGCUCGCGUCUGAUUAGCUAGUUGGCGGGGUAACGGCCCACCAAGGCGACGAUCAGUAGCCGGACUGAGAGGUUGAACGGCCACAUUGGGACUGAGACACGGCCCAGACUCCUACGGGAGGCAGCAGUGGGGAAUAUUGCGCAAUGGGGGCAACCCUGACGCAGCAACGCCGCGUGAUUGAAGAAGGCCUUCGGGUUGUAAAGAUCUUUAAUCAGGGACGAAAUUUGACGGUACCUGAAGAAUAAGCUC
RNAcentral lists this ribosomal RNA (467 nucleotides) under uncultured bacterium. RNAcentral's name for it is "bacterial SSU rRNA". It matches the Rfam family "Bacterial small subunit ribosomal RNA", at positions 28 to 493 of the family's 1533-position model. The record is from RNAcentral.